RNAcentral lists this ribosomal RNA (431 nucleotides) under uncultured bacterium. Its description in RNAcentral is "partial 16S ribosomal RNA". It matches the Rfam family "Bacterial small subunit ribosomal RNA", at positions 29 to 504 of the family's 1533-position model. The record is from RNAcentral.
AGCGAACGCUGGCGGCAGGCCUAACACAUGCAAGUCGAACGAACCUUUCGGGGUUAGUGGCGGACGGGUGAGUAACACGUGGGAACGUGCCUUUAGGUUCGGAAUAACUCAGGGAAACUUGUGCUAAUACCGAAUGUGCCCUUCGGGGGAAAGAUUUAUCGCCUUUAGAGCGGCCCGCGUCUGAUUAGCUAGUUGGUUGAGGUAAUGGCUCACCAAGGCGACGAUCAGUAGCUGGUCUGAGAGGAUGAUCAGCCACAUUGGGACUGAGACACGGCCCAAACUCCUACGGGAGGCAGCAGUGGGGAAUCUUGCGCAAUGGGCGAAAGCCUGACGCAGCCAUGCCGCGUGAAUGAUGAAGGUCUUAGGAUUGUAAAAUUCUUUCACCGGGGACGAUAAUGACGGUACCCGGAGAAGGAGCCCCGGCUAACUUC